Long non-coding RNA from Mercurialis annua (annual mercury), 824 nucleotides. RefSeq lists it as uncharacterized. The record is from RefSeq and is a predicted model, not a curated record. The transcript has 2 exons. Lineage: Eukaryota; Viridiplantae; Streptophyta; Magnoliopsida; Malpighiales; Euphorbiaceae.
UUGUUUAUAAAUUGGAUAUGAUAUCUUAUAACCCCACAUGUCAUGUAUUUAAUGGAUGGUUCAUAAUUAUUUGUGGCAAAUUUGGUUCAUUUAAAAAAAUUUCUAGUCAAAAAAUAUUUAGGUGGACCUAAUUCGCCAGAUAGAAUUAUGAUCAUCCAUUAAAAAGAUAACACGUCUUUGGAGCGUUAAUUAGAUUGGUAAUGACCCGGCUUCCAUUUUAUUUUCCCAGCUCUUUAAUCUUUCAAAUAAAAUAGGAGCAACCAUUGGGGAUGUUUGGAUGGGCGGACGGCGUUGAAGGCGUCAUUUGAGAGUGGCAGGACUAUGGGAACUGCUCACGUUUUUAGUCUGAAUGUGGCAAAUGGAACUGUUUGACAAUGUGAAGAUUCAGAGGUUCAUCGAGCUGCUGGGUUAGCCGGAAAUAGGUCAAAUUUAACUGAUUGGGUUGAUGGCCAACAUGCGAAUUCAAUGGGUUAAGAUCGGCUCCGGAUUCCAUCUGUUGCUGCUGGCUGGGAGCUACUAUUUGUCCACGAAAUAGAUGCUCGGUGUUAUUCUAUCAACAAGGAAGAUUUUGCGGGUCUUCAUGAACACAAUGAGGAAGAUUUUUAGGUACCUUUUAGGCGGGAGUCUUGGGCUCACCCGAGAGUUAGGUUUUUUGUAUGGCUUGCUUUACACAGUAGGGUCCCUUCACUUGAUUUUUUAGCAAAGCGUUUUAUUGUUAAUGUGAAAAUUUCUUUGUGUUCACUUUGUGAUGUGGUGAAAAUGCAAGAUCAUAUUCAGAUUCAUUGGGAGUAUGCAAGAAGCAUUUAGCAUGAUAUUCUUAAUAA